Molecule: long non-coding RNA, 3172 nt
Filed under: Pelobates cultripes (western spadefoot toad)
Lineage: Eukaryota; Metazoa; Chordata; Amphibia; Anura; Pelobatidae
Source: RNAcentral
CUAUGCCUUUGGUCCAACACAGAUUAAUAGAUGUAGACCGCGUCACUGCAUGCAAGAGACAGCUGAUGAGAUGUAGGAGCUGAGGUGCCAGUUUAAUGCAUUGCAAUAGACUCAAAAACCUUAAUAUUGUUGUGAUCUGCUGUCCUAGGUCAUACUUCUAGCAAGCGGCCAGGGUGAAAGAUUUCCCGUGAACUGAAUGAUUAACAUGGUCUAUAAAAUCUAAUAUGUAGCUUUGGCACCAAUAUAUACUAGGCUGUAUCUUCUCUGUAUUAAUAGAUAAACAAAAGGUGGAUAUUGGGUUCCUCAUUUACAAGGCACAUAACACAAUAAGGGGGAGGGAUAAAUUUAGUUUCGGAUCUACACGUUUUUCAUAAGAUGCAUUUGAAUUUUGCAAAUUUCUCUUUACAGCAAUCUCAGGACAGAGAUGAUAAGACAGAAUCAGUCAUCUACAGCCCUUUGUUAGACUAUUCUAAAGGCCUCUGUGUGCAGCUACAUGUCCAGUCCUGUUCUAAUCGGCCAUGAACUUGAAAUCGAUGGCCCUGAGUGAUGAGAUCACAGACGGGCCAUUAGGCAGCUGAAACCGGCUAGUUUACGUUUCAGUGAACAUUUCAGACAGAGUUAGGGUGUGAGCCUGUCAUGUAUUUCCUCUUAGGGCAUAAACAAAAGAACACAAUAGUUUCACAGAUAACUGCGCCGACUCUAGUCAGUGGAAAGUUACUGAGUGCAGUGUCAUCACGCAUUGCUGCUACAGACACUAAUGCAACAAGUCAGCGAUGUCCAAACUUGUGUAUAACCUCCCUCAGUUUAUAACACCCCUAUUGAAAUGGUUAUAGUCCCAUGUCAUCAGUUUAGCUUCUUGUUCCCUUAACGCCCUAUAAGCAAUAUUUUAAAUCCCAACUGCUUUAACCUUACUCAGGUCUUUCAAUGCAAUGUUUGGACCCACCACCAAUACUUCGUUAGAUUACCCAUUAAUAAGGGAUUUUAUAUAGUGAAAUCCCUUACAUAAUAUAGAUUCACAUUUACUGAUAGAAUGUCCUUAAGCAAUGCAAGACUUCAGUUAUGUAACCAACAUUACUGUUAUAUUUCACUGCAUUAGGAGAUGUUAAUCCAGAGACUCCCUUUAACACUGUAGAGUAUAUGAUCUGUAUAGAGUUUGUGGGAGUUGCAUGCACCCCACCUCUAGUCAGUUGGUCUUAGCCGGCAGUACUUUCCCCCAAGUUGGAUGCAGCAACCACAUGAUGACGUCAAACUGCAUUGCCUGCUAAGUGGUACCCAAACAGCAGACCCAUUACUCUUUAUAUGGUCUGCUGGCUAAGUAUGGUGUUUGCCAGACAAAUCUCAGUACAUGUGCUGUAGAUGUGAGGAUGGUGUUUAGGAGGGUUCCACUGACCUACAAAGUCACUUGGUUAUAAGCUAUAAAAGCCUAUACUGAAGAUUGAUUGGCUUGUGAGAGGAACAGUUCUAAUAGUCGAAUCUCAAACAUGUAUUAGCUAGUACAGAGGAAUGUAAAAGUAAAAACAACGAUGUAUAGAUAACUCCCCCCUCUUCACAUUAAAGUGCACCUGUCAUGUUACAGACAACAUUUGAGAGUUGUUUUGUAGACUUUAUACACAAGUUGAUCCAUAAAACAGACUAGACAUCAAUAUGGUCCACUCAACAGAAUCAUACCCCUCACUGUUGCAGUCUCCUCUCCAAUAACAUUGUACAAAUUAUGAAGUCCCAAGGAAGAUGCUCUGAGACAGCUAGAGAUCUAGUCUUUGAAGAUCCUUCCAUUCACGCACGGUGACAGUAGUGUACACAGUGUGAAAAAUGGCUACAAAGCCAACAGUUGUGAUUGAUUGCAAUUGUCAACAUGAGUUCAUACCAGCUAUAUGUGCUGGUUGUGUCUUUCAAUAAAGAAGACAGAACAGGCGCUACUGUUACACAUGACAUAGGGGUUGUCAGUUGAAUAAAAGGACAACAUAUUUGGCUGAUAACAGGUCAUGAGGAACUACACCAACGGGUAGUGUUCUAAAUUUACAUCCCACCAGGCUCAGCCAGCAACGAAAGACCUCAUCUCAAUGGUAAGUGUGCUUACACAAGAUACAGGAAACUAGUAGCGUCAGAUGGUUUUGCCAACUUUUACAUAGGCUUGGAGAUAUUUCAUUGAAUGGUAGAGUCAGGAGAACCAGAAACCAGGUCAAACACAAGGGGCAUAACCUGACUAUUACUGUGGUGUUAAAGAAAAAGGGUCACAUUGAAGAACGUUAAGCAGGUUCAUAAAGUUAACUGCGGCCUAGGGUCAAAGCAAAAAUGACUACGUGUGACAGUCACCAUCACUGGGAGCAGAAGAUGGACACUUUACGUAGGUCCCAGAAUUAUCCUUAUGUUUUAGUCACCCGGUGCCCAUUAUAUGUGCAGAUUGUGUAAUGCAAUUCUGCAAGCAGGGGAGAUAUUUUGUGUUAUUUAUAAGGGGAUGGGAAGACAAUAACUAGGUUAUUGUGUUAAUACGACUUCCUGUACGUUUCCCUAUAUCAUUUGUUUUUUUUUAUUAAUUUUAUCAUCGUAAGUUUGAUGUAAUGACAGACUAGCCCAGAGAAGAAGAAAAAAAACAAAAAACAAAGUGUGUCAGUUCCAUUGGGAACGGUGUCCUGGUUCGUUUAUUUGGGGAUCCCAGGAACAGUCUUUGGACUUGUUGCUUGGUCCCAGAUUCAUGGGACAAGUUAAAAAGAGCUAGGCCUGAGAGACAAGUUCCUUCGUAAAGUCAGUAGCUAGAGAGGCAGCUGGGACAAUACCAGCCUGGAAAGAGCUGUACCCUGUUUCAGAGUGGAAAAGUUCUCAGAAACCCCAGUCAAACUUUAGCAACUGGGGAUAAAGUGCUCCAGGAUUCCCAGUAGCAGCUGGGAAGUUAACUUGGCAGAGGUUCUCAGUUAGAGUACAGGAGUUCUGUCAGUCCUCUUAUUGAAGAUCACACCACCAAUACAGUCACUCAAAGCAAUAAAGAUCAAAGUGUCUGUUUAUAUAAAACAGAUGCAUUAGACACAUCUACAAUACAGCCCAAGACAAGUACUAAAAUAUAUAAAUUACACAAUUUAUUACAAGGAGAGUAGGAAACCCUUUUACAUUACAUUUUAAUAAAAAAAAAAAAAAAAAAGUUAGAUUUUUCAACAAACUGCAAUUGCAGAGAUUGUAC